GAAGUUUGUUGGUUCUCUCUCUCGGUGGGUCUUCUCCUCCAAGCUUUCCCACGGUGGCUCAAAUCGAAGCUUUCACCUCAAAUCGAAAGAUAGAAGGAUCAAAGUUCAUCGAGCAAAGGUUCAAACAAUUCAGGAGUUCACUGCAUAAUAAGGGGAUCAAGUCACACAUAGCCAGAAAUGGAACCAAGAAAACGGAUUGUUUGUGGCCUCUCAGCAAGAGGAAUCAUACCGCCUCUCUCACAAGAAGAUAGAGAUGAUGAUGUUGCGCCUCUCCCACAAGAAGAUACAGUCAAAGUGGUGGAGAUAUCAGAUGAAGAAGAAGAAGAUAUGGUGGAGUUAUCAAGCGAAGAAUACAUGAGCAAUAUGAGAUACUUGAUUAGGGUGGAGGAAUCAGAAGAUGACAUUGAACCUGAGUUCAGAAGGAUGCUUGAAAGGAUGCAUGAGGAAGAGAAGAAGCUGAGAGAGGAGAAGUUCAAGGUGUUGAAGUCGGGAAUCAAGAUAGAGAAAGGACAAUCCUCUAAGGGUGAUGGUAACAAGAGGAAGAGAAGAAGGUGAGUGUCUCGUCUUGUCUUGUAGUCACGGACAAGGUCAGUGUGUUGUUGUGUCUUGUAGUGUCGGACAAGGUCAGUGUGUUGUUGUGUCUUGUAGUGUCAACGCUUUGUGUCACAGAUCAUGUACUCUUGUGUGUUUGUACUCUUGCAUCUUUGUACUCUUGCAUUAUGUGACUUCUAUCAUGUGUACUCUUGUUUGAUGUGUAUUGCAUCAUGUGUACUCUUGUGUUUUGUAAUCUUGCAUCAUGUAACUUGGUCUCUCUAAACCAAACGAAUCAACAACUCACAUAUCUCUAUAUAUCUCUCGGUCUAAAUCAAAGAAAACCAACAACUCAUCCUUCUCUCUAUAUCAUUCUGUAUAAACCAAACAAACUCAUCAACUCAUCUUUCUCGCUAUAUCACUUUAUAGUGAAUCUGUCUAAACCAAACCAAAGCAACAACUCAUAUUUCUCUCUAUAUCACUCUCUAUACCAAUUUGUCCAAACCAAAGCAAUAACUCAUCUCUCUCUCGAUAUCAUUCUCUUUAAACCAACUCAUUGAAAUCUCUUCUCUCUCCAUUUAUAAUAAAAUCUUCUUCUCUCUAUUUUCUCAAACUCAUCUUUAUAUAUAAUAAAUUCUUCUUCUCUCUAUUUUCUCUCUUUGAUCACUAGUUUAUAAACCUCUUUAAUCACCAUAUAUGGCUUCUUCUUCUCAAAACAAUUUAGAUGAAGCUUUUGAUGAUGCUUUUGAUGAUGCAUUUGAUGAGCUCUUUGAUCAACAUUUUGAUCACGCCUUUCACAAUUUUACCAUUCAAAGUGAUCAAGAAGAACGAAGAAAGAAAAGAAAAAAAUGAGCUUAUAUCGAAAGACACCGUGAAGAAGGGCAUUUUCGUUUAUGGAAUGAUUAUUUCAGUGAAACUCCAACGUAUCGUGAAAAUUUCUUCCGACGACGUUUUAGAAUGAACAAGCGACUGUUUCUGCACAUUGUUGAUCGACUCUCCAAUGAAGUUCAAUACUUCCGGGAAAAGAAAGAUGGUCUCGGAAGGAACAGUCUCUCUCCUCUUCAAAAGUGUACCGCAGCCAUUCGUGUCUUGGCGUAUGGUUCUGCAGCUGAUAUGGUCAACGAAUACCUCUGGCUCGGUGAAACAACAGCUCGGUUAUGUGUGGAACAGUUUGUGGAAGGUAUAAUAUAUUUGUUCGGCGAUGAGUACUUAAGAAGACCAACACCGGCUGAUCUUCAACGUCUACUUGAUGUCGGAGAGCGUCGUGGGUUUCCCGGGAUGAUAGGAAGCAUCGAUUGUAUGCAUUGGGAGUGGAAGAAUUGUCCCACCGCUUGGAAAGGGCAAUAUUCUCGUGGUUCGGGUAAACCAACAAUCAUUUUAGAGGCGGUCGCUUCAUACGAUCUCUGGAUAUGACAUGCGUUUUUUGGACCUUCAGGUACAUUAAAUGAUAUCAAUGUUCUUGACCGUUCACCCAUUUUUCAUGACAUA
Brassica napus (rape) is the source of this 2019-nucleotide long non-coding RNA. RefSeq lists it as uncharacterized. NCBI's taxonomy places the organism in Eukaryota, Viridiplantae, Streptophyta, Magnoliopsida, Brassicales, Brassicaceae. The record is from RefSeq and is a predicted model, not a curated record. The transcript is spliced from 3 exons.